RNAcentral lists this ribosomal RNA (253 nucleotides) under uncultured bacterium. Its description in RNAcentral is "partial 16S ribosomal RNA". It matches the Rfam family "Bacterial small subunit ribosomal RNA", at positions 524 to 776 of the family's 1533-position model. The record is from RNAcentral.
UACAGAGGUGGCAAGCGUUGUUCGGAAUUACUGGGCGUAAAGGGCGCGUAGGCGGUCCCGUAAGUUCCGCGUGAAAUCCCCCGGCUCAACCGGGGAAUGGCGCGGAAAACUGCGGGGCUUGAGUUCGGGAGAGGGAAGCGGAAUUCCGGGUGUAGCGGUGAAAUGCGUAGAUAUCCGGAGGAACACCGGUGGCGAAGGCGGCUUCCUGGACCGACACUGACGCUGAGGCGCGAAAGCGUGGGGAGCGAACAGG